This 30598-nucleotide long non-coding RNA is filed under the name Marmota monax (woodchuck). The stretch from base 13638 to 13709 matches the Rfam family "tRNA". The record is from RNAcentral. Lineage: Eukaryota; Metazoa; Chordata; Mammalia; Rodentia; Sciuridae.
UGCUCUACGUUUAUGCAGCCUCUGCGGCAGCGCCUCAAUGCAGCCACUGCGGACCCGCCCACUCGCAGCGGAUCUGCCACGCCCCCCUCAGUUUCCAUGACGACCUGACCCUGCACCUUCCCUAAGCCGCCAAGAUUUCCAGGACUUGGGGCCAGGCUGGCUUCAGCAUCCUUGGCGUCGAUGAGAGAGUUGCUCCUGCCCUGGCAACCACAGCUAGAUCUGGAAUUGGGGAUUUUCGUUCAGGGCAGGUUAAGAGGUAACUUUAUUAUUAAUAUCUGUUUAAAUAUUUUGCUUAUUAGUUUGAGUACUUGUUGAGAUUUAAUGGUUUUGUUUCUGACAUGUCCUAUUGGUACCUUUUUUUCUAUUAUUUUACCUUCAGCUUCAAUUGUUUUGGAUAGAGAGAUUGAUCCCUGGCUAAGAGAAGACGAAAGGUCUACCCGUCCAGCAAUUUACCUUUGCUCUGUGAUCUAUCUUCCUAUGGGGGACAAGGGCACUCAGGUAUGUAGCAUAUGUCAUUAGCCACAAUAAGGAGGUCCCCAGUUGUGGACAACCAGAGACAUGAAAAAUUGUGCUCUAUUUGUGUAAUAUGAAUUGAAUUGCAUUCUGCUGUCACAUAUAACAAAUAGAAUGAAUUUUAAAAAUAUAAGAAAAGAACAGUUAAAAAAAAAGGAAAUGUGAGUCAAGUGAGAAAAAAAUAUUUUAUCUGCUUGACAUUUGCUAAAAGGAAUCUAACAUUUUCCUCCUGAAUGAUAAAUGACUCAGAUACUUCUAAAUACUUAUAUUUCUAGAUUUUUAUAUUCUGACUGCUCUGCUGAUGACAAUGUAACUGAUUAAUUGAAACCAAGGUAUUAAUGUGUUUUUUUAAGUGCUUACACUAAUUCUGAUAGUUUUUAAAUUAAAUACGCUUAGUGAAGAUGUUUUAAUGAAAUUACUCUUAAAUUGGAAUUUUAUAAGUUGAAUCGCAGAUUUCCUUUGCUUUAGAGUGAUAUUUGGUUGUUAAAUAACUGUGAUGGUAUAUGGGAAAAUGCAGUUUUAAUGAUCUAGUCAAAGGGAAAUUUAUUUCUGUAAACAAAUUGCAUUUGAGGUGGAAUCAGUGACAGGGGAUUAGUUUGAGUUCACCUGCUGGUUGUCAAAGAUUCUGGCUUUUGUAAAUUUUCAUGGCAAAAUUUGAAGCUAAUAACUAACUCCCUGCGUUAGUUAGACAGGCUGCGUGGCUGGAGGCAGCAGACAUGGUGUCUUAGACACAAUGCAGCUGUGUUUGAGAUGCCAAGCACCUUGUUGUAUCUAGUGAGCAGGACUCCUGUGCUUGCAUCCUGCUGAUGAGGCCAAAUAUUUUGAGCAAUUGCAUGGUUACUGGGCAGUCAAGGGGAAUGUGCUGUCAUCUCUGAGCAACACGGCAGUGUCCUUCAUCAGAGAUGGAAUUCUGACUUUGGGGAGAUUUUGAAUGGUGGAAAUGAGAAAGAAGGAACUUGUGUUUUCUGUUUCCAAAUGGAGAUAAAGAUAGAGAAGUCAGUUUGCAUAAUACUACCAAAAUUGUCUUUCUUUCUUUCCCUUCCUCCCUUCCUUCCUUCCUUCCUUCCUUCCUUCCUUCCUUCCUUCCUUCCUUCCUUUCUUUUUAAAACAAAAUAGAUAAGAAAGUAGUUUUUUAAAUACUUUAAACAUUUUUAUUAUAUCACCAUUUAAUUUUUUCUCCUGACUUUUUCCUCAAAGAAGCAGAGGUAUGUAUAAAAUAUAUAAAUAUGAUAAAUUUUCUUCUGUAAGAUAAUACCAGGGAAAAAGGAAUAGAAGAGUCAGACAGAAAAAGUCCAAAAAGAAAGAAAUAUGGAGAAAUGUCUGUCCUCUUUAUCCUUUAAUAAUUACAGAGUUGCUGCACAAUUGACUGAAUAUUCUUGGGUCUGGGCAGAGGUGAACAUGAUGAACCACAAAAUUCUCAUUAUCUGGAAAAGAAAACCUAACUGUCUGCUCAGAGAAAAAAGAUUUUCCAUAGGAGCAAGUUAUAUGUCUGAAAGAAACUUCUGCAAUGGUAUCCUUUAGGUAGCGCUGUUCGUCUGUAUUUUUUUAACGCAGUUUAUGAUUUGUGAUCUAUAAAUAUAUCUUACUUGUGAUGAAAAAGUCCAUCAGCCACUGUUGCGACAUUGUCUCUGACCACAGAUAUUAACCAGUUUGUUAAGUGCUCAGUGUUUCAUUUGGUGCUAAAAGGAUACAAGAUCUCACUCUGGAGUAAGAACUAGUUGGGCAAACAAACACGGCAAGAGAAAGGACCUACAUUACAGUUUUGCUGGUAUAAGUAGCACUCGUAAGCACAGAGAAGGGAGCAAUGGAUUUAGCUAGAAAGUGUGAAAAGCAGGACAGCUGAGAUGACAUAAAGCAACACUUAAGUUUCACAGCUGAAAAGGAAAGAAAACACUUUCCACAGAGAGGGAACAAAUGAGCAAAAAGCACGUAGGCGAAAUUAAUUCAUUGGCAGCCCCAGACAAGGAUAGUUUGUCCAUAGCUUGGGAGUGACAAUAAGGGGACCUGGGUUUAAUUGAGUUUUAGAGAACAAUUAGGUGGCUGUUCACUUAAAUUUUCUGAUCUCUGAUUUCUCACACUGCCUAGUGCUCCAGCCCAGGUCCUGGGAAGUUAAGCAGGAUUGUGGUGGGUAACACUGGCCUAGCAUCAGCAGUCAUAUUCUGCUGGGUCCUGGCUGGAUUAUGAAGUACAGGAAGUUGUCAGAUAUAUUCUUCUGCCCAUUCUGAAACCUCUUUUGCCAUCUACAAAUAUCCUUAGGAAUAUCUGUCCUGUCAUUAAACAAUUUUCUGUUACUUCUUCCAGUGGUGCUGAACUUAAAGGUUUUCUGUAAUUAUGCAAUGAAAGAUUUAGAAUACCAAUCUGCAUGCAUUUAGUUCAUGUUUGUAAGGGGAGCCCUGCCUUCAUCCAGGAAAUAUGUCCCAUAGGCUACUGCAUACUCAGGUCUCAUCAAACCCAGCCUUCCAUUUCCCCUAUUUUGACCAUCUCCAUCCCUACCUUCCCUCUCCCCAAAGAUAAAACUCCCCCUGCCUCCAGUUUGGUUCAAGGCUGCUUCUGUUUGUGAAUACAGCCCACUGUUCUUACACUGAUUUGUGCUGAUGUCACUAAUAUUGCUGUCAGCCUCUUUCAUGUUGCCAGCUGAUUUGGUUAUAUUUGAAUAGUGAUGCAAAUGAAAAAGCAAGUUAGAAUCAUAAGGAAAUUUUUAUAGAUUAUCUUUUCAAUAUUGUUUGCAAAUUUUAUUGACUACGAUCCACAGAAAACUUUUUUACAUUAUGACUGAACAACAAUUUAUUGAAAAUAAUACUGAAGAGCCAGAUAUGGCAUAUGCUUGUAAUAUGAGCUACACGGGAGGCUAAGGUAGGAAUAUCACAAGUUUGAGGCCAGUCUCAGCAACUUAGUGAGACCCUGUUUCAAAAUAAAAGGGGCUGAAGGUAUAUAGUUCUUGCUUUGUAUGCAUGAGCCAUUGGCUUUAAUCCCCACUACUACAGAAAACAAAAAAUCCCCAGACUUAAUUUUAUUACAUAUGAUAGACUAUUCUGCUCUAUUCUUGAUUUCAUCCCACUCCAUUCCUUUCCAUUUUAUUCAGUUUCACCUGAUUAAAAAAAAAAAAAAGUGUGUUGAUUGCUGGGUGGCGCACUUCAGUAAUCCUAGAUGCGCCAGAGGCUGAGGCAGGAGGAUGGCGAGUUCAAAGCCAGCCUCAGCAAUGAAGAGGCACUAAGCAACUUAGUGAGACUGUGUCUCUAAAUAAAAUACAAAAUAGGGCUGGGGAUGUGGCUUAGUGAUUAAGUGCCCCUGAGUUCAAUCCCUGGUACAAAAAAAAAAAAGAAAAGAAAAGAAAAAAAGAAAGUGUGAUGAGCAAUUUCAAUACUUGGCAUCUAUUUAACAAAAUCACAUACAUUAAAAUAUCAAAAGAAUUUCCAUAGCAACAUUAUGUGUCAUUGUCAAACUGGAAAUAAUCUAAGUGUUCACCAAGAGUAGAAUGGAUAAAUAAAUAAAACUGAAUAAAUGAAGUAUUAGUAUGAGGAAGAACAUCAUAGAUGAAUCUUGUAAACAUGAUGUUGACAAGAGAUGUCAGACAUAUUGAAUGACUCAAUUUUUAUAGAGAAAAAAAUCUAUGAGAAAGAAUUGAGGGAAGUGGUUGCUCUUGGGGAGGGCAAGCAGCAGUGAGCACAGGGAACAAAGGUGCUGGUUCUGCUUCUUGAUCUGGGUGUCAACAUUCAUCAGGCUUUUUAUUUUGAUGGGUUUUUCCAAAUGUAUAUUUCCAAAAAAGAGAAAUGCUUGCUAAAAGGAAAAAAACAAUAGGUAACUGCAAAUUCUUAAGCUGAUUACUAAUCAGUCAUCACCACCGAUCUGAAAACACUGGUCUGGUUCAAUCCUCUCACAUCACAGAUGAAGUGAGACCCAGAAAGAUCCAGAGAUGUGGCCAAGGAUGGGCCUUAAUCUGGAUCCCACACUACUUCAGUUUAGUACUCUAUUAUACUGCAAUUUCUUUUUUUUUAUUUUGAAGAAAACAGUCUCUAAACUCAUUUCUUUUACUCCUUUUAAAAAUUUUAUUAUUUUAAAAUUUUGGGGUGCAUUGGGAUACAUUUAUACAUGUAUAUGAAAUAAUUUGGUCACUCCAGCACCUCUCCUUGCCCUCUCCUCCUCCCUUUUCCUAUUCCCUUCCUCUACCCUAUUAGUCUCCCUUCUAUUUUCACAAGAUUACUGUUUUUCUUUCUUCUAUCUUCUGCAUAUGAUGGAAAAUAUAUGACCCUUGACUUUCCAAGUUCAGCUAAUUUUGCUUAAUAAGAUGCUCUUUGUUUCUAUUCACUUUUCCUACAAGUGAUGUAAUUUCAUUGUUUUUGUAUGGGAUGAAUAAAAACUCAUUUUGUAUAUAUACUACAUUUCUUUAUCAAUUCAUCUAUUGAUGAACAUCUAGGCUGGUUCUGUAAUAUUUGCUAUUGUGGAUUAUGCCGCUAUAAACAUGGGUAUGUGCAUAUCACUAUAUUAUGCUGACAUUGCUGUGCCAUGGGGUGGUUCCAUUCCUAAUUUUUUGGGGAACUUCCAUACUGAUUGCCCUAGUGGCUGUACUAGUCUGCAGUCCCACCAGUAAUGUACAAGUGUACCUUUUCCUCACAUACUCAUCAGCAUUUAUUUUUUGUAUUCUUGAUGAUUACUAUUCUAACUCAAGUGAGAUGAACUCUCAGUGUAGUUUUAAUUUGCAUUUUCCUUUGUUUUUGAAUAAAAGAAGUAUUAUUUUAUUGCUGCUUAAAAAUUAUUCAUUUAUAUAUAUGCCUAUAAUUACAGUCACUUAUACAUAUGAAUGUUAUUUAUAAGAAUGUUGACAUUCUAUACUGUCACUCAAGAUAUACUACCAACAUGCACUAUUUUUUAAUUGAUGGUUUAAAAAUAAAUGACAUUGGAAUACAUUUCAAUUCUUAUUACACAUAUACAGCACAAUUUUUCAUAUCUCUGGGUGUAUAUAAAGUAUGUUGACACUAAUUCAUGUCUUCAUACAUGUACUUUGGAUAAUGAUGUCCAUUGCAUUCCACCAUCCUUGCUAAUCCUCUGCCCCCUCCCUUCUCCUCCCACUCCUCUGCACUAUCUAGAGUUCAUCUAUCCCUCCUAUGAAUCUAUCCCUACCCCACUAUGAAUCAGCCUCCUUGUAUCAGAGAAAACAUUCAGCAUUUUUUUUGGGGGGGGGAUUGGCUGAUUUUACUUAGCAUUAUCUUUUCCAACGCCAUCCAUUUACCUGCAAAUGCUAUGAUUUUAUUCUCUUUUAUUGCUGAGUGAUAUUCCAUUGUGUAUAUAUGUCACUUUUUUAUCCAUUCAUCUACUGAAGGGCAUCUAGGUUGGUUCCACAGAUUAGCUAUUGUGAAUUGUGCUGCUAUAAACAUUGAUGUGGCUAUAUCCCUGUAGUAUGCUGUUUUUAAGUCCUUUGGGUAUAGACCGAGGAGAGGGAUAGUGGUCAAAUGGUGGUUCCAUUCCCAGAUUUCCAAGGAAUCUCCAUACUGCUUUCCUUAUUGGCUGCACCAAUUUGUAGUCCCACCAGCAAUGUAUGAGUGUAUCUUUUCCCCACAUCCUCUCCAACACUUAUUGUUGUUUGUCUUCAUAAUAGCUGCCAUUGUAACUGGAGUGAGAUGAAAUCUUAGAAUGGUUUUGAUUUGCAUUACUCUAAUUGCUAGAGAUGAUGAACAUUUUUUCAUAUAUUUGUUGAUUGAUUGUAUAUUCUCUUCUGAGAAGUGUCUGUUCAGGUCCUUGGUCCAUUUAUUGAUUGGAUUGAUUGCUAAAUAUGUUAAAUAUUUUUUUCAUAUAUCUGUUGGUCAUUUGCACUUCUUUUAAGAAAUGUCUGUUUAGUUCAUCUGUCCAUUUAUUGACUGAGUUAUUUGCAGUUUUAUUGUUAAGUUUUUGAGUUAUUUAUAUAUCCUGGAUAUUAAUCCUCUACCUAGAAGAGUAGUUGGCAAAGAUUUUCUUCUUUUCUAUAUGAACUCUCUUCACAUUGCUGUUUCCUUUGCUAUGCAAUUUCACUUAGUCUUUUGCUUUGUUUCAUUAAUAAUUAAACUAAUAUAUUAAGAUUUCUGAUAUUUUGUAUUAUAUUAUUUAUUUUGUUCUUUAAGGAUUUUCUUUAUUUCUAUAGAUGAAUUGCUUUUCUGAUGAAUUAAGCAAUAAUUUAAGAUACAGCAAUUAAAGUGUAUGUUCAUAUCUUCAGUUUUUUUUCCUCCACAUUUCAGACUGUCUUUAAAAUCAUCUAGGUUAUUUGUGUGAAGAACUAUCUUAUGAUACUUUCCUGUAGAAUCUCAGCUUGGAUUCUAGAACAAUGGUGUCUACUAGAACAUCCUAUAAUGGUAGAAAUACUAAUCUAUAUCUAUGAAAUGCAACUAAGUAACUGAACUUUUAAUUAAGUUUCAACAGUGCUAUGGUGUGGAUAAAUAUCCCCUAAUGGCCCAUUUGUUAAAGGCUUAGUUGCCUGCCUGUGGUGCUAUUGGAAGGUGGUGGAAUCUUUAGGCAGUGGUAGGACCUAGUGGAGGAAAUAAUGUCAAUGGAGGUGUUUCCUUAAAGGGAUAUUGGGACCUCAUCUCCACCCACCCUCUCUGUUUGCUUCCUGGCUGCCAGAAGUUAAACAGUUCCUCUCCCAUGUGUUCCUACCAUGAUGUACUUCCUCAUUGUGGGACAGACACCAGGGCCAAGUGGCCAUGGACUAAAUUCUCUGAAACUUUGAGCCAAAAUAAACCUUUCUUCCUUAUUAGUUGUUCAAGAUAUUUUGUUACACUAAGGGAAAACUGACUAACGUGGCCAUGUCUACUGUAUUAGGCAACUCAGCUAUAAAGACAUGACAAAAGCCAGCAUGUGAGUUUUUCCUUGAAUUUAAACCAGAAGUUUAAAUUCUAGUCAAUAAUAAUUGUUUGUCUUUAGAUUUUAACUGACUUUUGCAAUGUCAUAGUGACAAAAUAGUUGACAGGAAUAUUAGUUUGUUUUGCCUUUAGUCAUGAAGUGAGAAGGUACUUGAACAUUAGUUUUCUUACAUGACUUGAAUCAAAUAUGGUUUUGUUUAGGUAACAAAUAAUAGCAUUAGAAUCUAUAGUUAUUUGGAGGCAUAUCUUAUUUCUCCUGGUCUCAUCUCUUUCCUGACUAGGAUAUUGUGUCCACAAAAGUACCUUGCAUGAAAGAAUUGCCUCUGGUUACCAGGCUGCUGCAGGAACUGAAACUACUUUUAGGUAACCCUUUAAGUACCAUCUCCUCCAUGACACCAAUGUCAUAGGACAGAUCAAGGAGUUAAACCUCAGGAGCCUGCCUUAGCUGCAGGGACAAUUAUUGCCUUCCUCCAAUCUCUUUUUCUUUUUAAAAUCCACCUCUUGUUUUUAUUUUAAAUCUGUUUUAUGUCUGACACUGCUUAUUCUUUAAGAUCUGUGGUCUGAUUUAUUACAUAUGGUGACUUCACACAAAUCCUUCUCAAGACUCCAAGAUUUUUCCCCAUUCUGGUGUCUCCCCUAUAUGACUGGAUUAAGUAUAGCAAAGUGCUCAGAAAUUUUAUUCCUACAUACAGUUGACAUUUUCUCCUGUUAAUUCUACUGAUGGUACCACUUCAUCUCUUGGAAUCACAUAAAACAAUUCUAUCCUUCUCUUUAAUUGGGUGUUCUUCGUGUGUUGAGGACAACUCUUGUCUCAUGUUAGCUUUCUCUUGGAUGAAAAACCCUGGUUUCCCAGCACUUUAUAAAGCUUGGACUUUUGUCAUCUUGGACAUAUGUCUCCUGAUGCUCUCUCACUUGUUUGCCAAGUUCUAGUAUCUUUCUCUAAUUUACUUCAUCAAAGUAUGGUGUACUUGUGAGUAAAAGCAGUGUCUAAUAAUGACAGAUAAAAGGCACAAAGAGGAACCACUCAGGGCAAACCAAUACAAAAAAAAUGCUAUUCCUGUCAAAAUCUUACUUGAGCAUUUUAUAUAACCAGCCAGGUAGGUUCUGAUCAAAAGAGCUACACAUGUGCUCUUACUUACUGAGAUCUGAAUGCUUUACUUCUGUUAGUGCAGCCGAAGCCUAAGUGUAGUCAUAGGUGAGUGCUCCCCUUGAAUGCUUGCCUGCAUUUCCAUUUUGGUAAAUGUUUUAGUCAGCUUGGUUGCUACAUGACCAAAAAGACAUGACAAGAACAGUUAGAAGCAGAAAGUUUAUUCUGGGGUUCAUGGUUUCAGAGAUUUCAGUCCAUAGAUAGCUGACUCAAAUCCUCCUGGCAGAAUAUCAUGGCAGAAGCAGGUAGCAAAGGGAAACAGCUGAAAACAUGGCACCAGGAAGCAGAGAAAGAGCUCCACUCAACAAGAAAAAAUAUAUAUUCUAAAGGCACACCCCCAGGGACCCAGCUAUGUCCUCCAGCUACACCCUGCCUGCCUACAGUUAGCAGCCAGUUAAUCCCCAUCAGAGGAUUAAUGCACUAAUUAGGUUGAGGCUCUCAUAACCUAAUGAUUUCACCUGUAAACCCUCUUGCAUUGUCUCACAUGAACUUUUAGAGGACAUCUAAUACCUAAAUCAUAGCAGUGUGUUUCAACUUUUCUUUGAGGAAACAUUCCUCCCUCAAUUGAGGUGCAUCCUGAUUUCACAGAUGGACCCAUGUCCCACAUCUGGCCAAUCAAGCAACAUUUCUACCUACCUUACAGUGACUGCCUUCAGCUGAGCAAGACAUUAGAAAAACACUGAUCACAAUGCCUACCUAGCACACUAACACAAAAAAAUGCCAACUCUUCACUAUCACUUAGAAGCAUUUUUCAUAGUAACACAAGAAAGGAAACAACACAAAUGUCCAUUUGCUCAUAAUUUGGAUGCAUAACAUGUGGUUAUCUAUUUUAUAAACAUGGAGGAACCUUAAAAACAUCAUGCUAUGUCAAAGAACCCCAUUACAAAACAAUACAUUCCAUAAUUCAUUUAUAUAAAAUGUCCUGAAUAGGCAAAUUUAUAUAGACAGAAAGAAGUUGCCUAGUUCUGAGGGUGAAUAUGAGAAAUACAGAUUACUACUAAAGGAUAUGGAGCUUCUUUGGGGAAAAUGAUGUUCUAAAUAUCCUAAAAUUGAUUAUGAUUAUGGUGAUAGUUGGAUAACUGAAAAUAUUAAAAACCUCUGAAGUGUACACUUCAAAUAGGUGAGCUGUAUGAUGUCAAUAAAGCUAUUACAAUAGAAAAUAAACACAGAAGGACUUACAUCCAACAUUUGAAUACUUAUUUACAAAAUGUUGAUGGCUUCAACAUCUCAUGGACUUUUAAAGCAAUCCUGGAAAGAAGUUGAUAUUGCUAGAUAAAGUUGGAGAAAAUAAGACCUAAAGACUGUAAGUGAUUUGCUUGAGACAUUGGAUUGUUUGUGGUAGAGCCAGGAGAUGUCAGCCUCUGCUCCCUGUGGUCAAGUUUAGUGUUAUCUGCUCACUCCUUGUUUACUUAGCCUCAACCACCUUAUUUAGGGAACUGUACAUAUAACUCUGAUUUUGUGCCAGUCACUGUUCUAAGCCCUUCAGAUAUAUUAGCUAAUUAAAUCCCCACAAUAACCCUCUGAAGAAGUGAAACCCUCCUUCUGGCUGAAGAAGUAGAAGCAGGGAAUGUAACUUUCCCAGAUCAUACAGCGAGUACCUGACAAAACUAAAUUUGAACCUAGACCAUAUUGCUCUUCAACCUCUGCAUGCUAGAGGGAGAAUGGCUUCCUUCAGUGCCUGUAUCUGAGACCUCUACCUCAAUGUAAAAUGAGACAAAGGUGACUGCUCCAUCUGUUCAGCUGGGUUAAGAUCUGACACUGGGGCACCACUCAAGUGUUUCAGUGGCCUGGGAUUCCCCAGCACUAGAGCCAAAGGUGAGUGGUAUCGGUCAGUUGAUGACUUUUCUUCUCAAAAGUUCUGCCAGCAGCAGUGUUUGCUUUGUGGUAACUAAACAAAUCUUUCAUCUAAGGUGACCAGGCUGGGGGUAAGCAGGAGAGAGGAGUUGCUGCAGAGUGUGUACUUUGUUUUAUGAAGACACACCAUCACUAAAGAAGGAGACAGAACAGACAGAAUAAGAGCUGUGUGGUGCAAGAACAAUUUCUUACCACACACACACACGCAUGCAUGCACACACACUGUGCUGAUGGCAAUUCUGCGGUCCUCAUUAAUCUCACUGCAGACUGGCCACAGAGUUGCAGAUUUUGUUCUACUUUGGCUCCCUGAAUCAGUAGGGCAGCCCCCAGCUAGUACCAAGGCUUGUCCUUCCAGUUGCAUGUUUAGAGAAGACUUAGAGGUAUAAAAGUGCUUCUCUUGUGACUUAGUCUCUAUGUACACCUCUGUGUGUCAGAUGUAAGCAGGAGUUGUUAGCAGGCCACAACAGGCUCCUUUUCUCCCUGCAGCAUCUGUGCCUGGCUUGCUCAGUCAUUCUUGCAUUUGCUUUGUGGGAGGUGCCAAACUGUUUAACUUCACCAUGCAUUAGGGAACUCAAAGAGUUAAGCCAACCCCUACAGGGCUGGGGUUGAGGAUUCUGGUUUCCUUGUGGUGACAUGGGAGAGGAGGGCUGUACCUACAUGUGCCCAGAGCUGUCCUGCUUGCUGCUCCUGUAGCAGUUAAGUCAAGGACUGCUCACUAUUCUUCAGGUCACAGUGUAUAGCAUGGUGAGCAUUAAUAAUGACGCUGCCUUUUAGGAUACAAGCCUGUUAAGGUGUAAUUUGUGGUGUUUGCAAUUUAUCCUCACUGUAAUAUACCUGGACAAUACUUUUGGUCUAUUUAUUUUUUAUUUUGAAUACAACUGGAAUCUGAAUUCUGAUUUUGUUUUAGAAGGAAGUUCAUAAAUGCUUCUGUACUGAAAGAAGAGCUUGGGAAGGCUGGUGGAAUAAUUGGAUCCUUCAAGUUUCUACUAAUUUUAGUGUAUUCUGGAUUAUACUGUUUAGUCUUAUAAUUAGCUAUUAGAAAACUUUGGCCCAAAUUUAAUACCCAUUUUUAGCAAAUAUGAAUGUUACCUUAUCACUACCCUUGUUUUUUCCUUUCUCCUGAUUGCCUUCCUUUUUAUCAAUUGAAAACCUGAUCACAUUCUUUUUGCAAUGAGUUUGGUCACACACAAAUAAAAAGAUCAAAUCAUGCAUCUGUACAUAAACAUUUCUUAAGAGGCAGGUCUACUGGAAACAAAUACCCUCAAUUUUCAUCUAAGUGAGUCAUUUUCUUUCUUUCACAUUUGAGGAAUAAUAUUGCAAGGCACAGAAUUCUAGGACAGGGGCAUUUCUGUCUCAAUAGUUUAAAUAUUUCAUACUAUACUCUUCUUUUUUGUAUGGUUUCUGAAAAAGUCAAAAGUAAUUCUUGUACUUGCUCUCCAAUAUGAAUAAAGUAUUUUUCUCUUUCAUUUCUUCUGUGAAUUUUUCUUUAUAUAUAGAUUUUUAUAGUUUAAAAAUUAUACACAUAAAUUGCUUUAUUUUCUUUUGUGGUGUGUAUCCACUUGGUGUCUGUUCUCUGUGUUUCUUCGAUCUGUGGUUGGUAUGACAUUAACGUGGGGAAAUUCUUAGUCUUUCUUGUUUCAUAUAUUUCUUCUGUUCCAUUCUCUUUUCCUUCUUCUGAUUUUCCCAUCAUGAAUAUGUCUGACUUUUAGAGAUGCCCCACAGUUCCCAGAUACUCUGUUCUUUUUUUUUUUUUUUUUCAGAAUGCUUACCUUUUGCUUUUCAGUUUGGGUGGUUUCUAUUGAGAUGUCCUCCAUUUUAAAGAUUCUUUCUACAGUAAUUUCCAGUCUAUUAAGAAACCAAUCAAAGGAUUCUUCAUUUCUUUUUGUGGGGAGGGGUACCAGGGAUUGAUCCCAGGGGUGCUUAAUCACUGAGCCACAUCUCCAGCCCUAUUUAAUUUUUAUUUUGAGAUAGGGUCUCCCUAAAUUGCUAAGGAUCUUGCUAAAUUGCUCAGGCUGGCUUUGAACUUGCAAUGCUCCUACCUUAGCCUCCAGAGCCUCUGGGAUUACAGGCUUGUGCCACCAUGCCCAGCUAGGAUUCUUUAUUUCUGUUAGAGUAUUUUUGAUCUCUAGAAUCUAAUUGUGUUUCAUUCUUAGAAUUUUUGGCUCUCAACUUGCAUUGUCUAUAUGUUCUCACAUGCGGUCUACUUUAUCCAGUAGAGCACUUAGAUAAAUCACAGUCCUUUGCUGGUUUGAUAAUUCCAACAACUCUGCCAAAACAUUUCAAAUUCUUGGUCUGAUCAUUUCAACAUCCCUGCCCUAUCUGAGUCUGGCCCUGAUGUUUGCUUUGCCUCUUCAAACUGCGUGUGUUAAUACCCUCUAGUACACCUUAUAAUUUUUUUUUUUGUAGAUAGCCAGACAUGAUGUACUAAGAAAAAGGAACUGCUAUAAAUGCAUAAUUAGUACUGUGAUGAUAAGGUGUGUGUGUGUGUGUGUGUGUGUGUGUGUAGCGGAAGUGCUUUAUAGUCCUAUUAUUAUUGAGUUUCAGUCUUUUACGAGACUAUGCUUCUAGACCGUUAUUGCACAAGUUAUAAUUUCUCCCUUCUUAGAUAUGACAGGAUGGGAAGAGGGGGCUGGACCUUGAAUAUUUCCAUUCUUGCAGGUCAGUUAGAUUCUGUUAAAGCCCCAUUAGUUUGGGUUCUGGUUAAUAGUUGCAACUAUUUUUUAUACACAGUGGAAUAUUACUUAGACAUAAAAAAUAAAAUUAUGGCAUUUGCUGAUAAAUGGAUGAAACUGGAGACUAUUAUUCUAAGUAAAAUAAGCCAAUCCCCCAAAUCCAAAGACUAAAUGUUCUGUCUGUCAUGUGUAUGCUAACAUAUGAUAAGGGAGGCGGGGAGGGAUAGAAGUACUUUGGAUUAGAAAAUGGGGAAUGAAGGGAAGGGAGGGAGGAUAGAAAUAGGAAAGAUGGUAGAAUGAAGUAGACAUUGCUUUCAUAAGUUCAUAUAUGAAUAUUCAAUCAAUGUAACUUCAUAUCAUGUACAACCGAAAGAAUGGGAAGUUAUAAUCCAUGUAUGUACAAUAUAUAUCAAAAUGCAUUCUACUGUCAUGUAUAACUAAAAAGAAACAAUAAAUUUUUUUAAAAAAAGAUUAAUCCUAAUUUUUACAUAAUUCCUAAAUUAAUUCUAACCUUUUCUGCAUUAGAAUUUGUAGAUGUAGUGGCCAUGAUAUUUUCACCAAUUUUAUCUCCAUUCAACAAAUAUUUUUAUAAAACAAAAGUCACAAAGAAGUUGUUUAUGGGCUGGGGGUGUGGCUCAGUGGUACAGUGCUCACCUUGCAUGUGUAAGAUCCUGGGUUUGAUCCUCAGCACCACAUAAAAAUAAAUAAGCAAAAUAAAGAUAUUGUGCCCAUGUAUAACUAAAAAAAUUUAAAAAAGAAGUUGUUUAUGAUAAUUUUGAAUGUGUUCCAAAUAUAAAUGCUGCAAUUUUGUAGGUUUUUCCCUACAAAAUUCCAUUUCAGUGCAGAAUAUAAAAUUAUCCCAUUAAAUUCCUCAAAAGGGACUUCCAAUAGAAAAGUUAUUCUAACAUACUAUUCCAAAAUUUCAGAGUUAAAUAUUAAUGUGUGAGUUCUGCACAUUUUUUCCAGUUUCUCCAUUUCUUUUUUAGGAAUACAUUUGAGUGAAUUUCUGGUUUUGAGCUUUAUUUUAAUAAUUAGAGCUUUUCAAAGUAAAUGGUAAAAGCUGAAGUUUUUGAUUUGCAUUCAUUGACUACUUGCCUAAAAUUAUGUAAAUUAUAUUGAACAAAUAAAAAUUUGGAGGAGUUGUUUAUAUGACUGAUUUUCAAAGUUUUUUUUAGAGGCUUAAACUUUCCUCAGAUUUGAUUAAUGAUAUAUAUCAAAUAGAGAAAACAGAUUCUCCCUUGCAUAUAAAUAUCAAAAACUGUUUAGUGGAUUAUUUUGUAAUUUAUUUAAUACUAUUAUAUGAAAUACUCCUAAGUCUUAUAACAGAUAUGUCUAUUUUAAUUAUAUAUCACAGCUUAUUUGGUUCUGAAUAUAUGAUAUGUAUGAACUUCAGCUAAUUCCUAACACAUUUCCUUCUCAUAAGAUUCUUAAUUUAGUAAUAAUAUUUUUUACCAUAACACUCUACAAAAAAUGUAUAUUACUACUACUACAGAAUAUUUGGUCUUUAAUGCUGACCUCUUAAAUUAAUUUACAGUGGCAUCUCAAUGAUGCCAGGUGUCUCACUUUAGGGAGAAUAAUCUUAGAAAAAAAAGCUUUAUUUUUAUCUCAGUAAUUGGAUGAAAAAAACUCCAACCUUUAUUGAAAUUAUAUUAAAUCAUUGUCUAGUUUUUGUACUGGAUCAUGUUGGGAUAAAAAUGACAUCAUUUAAGUAUUAUCAAUUAAUUUAUCUUACAUGUACAAUGUAAUGUGGACUAAAAAUGAAAUAAAUUUCUUUUUUAAAAAUAGUCAUCUAAUUUGUGUGAAAAUUUAUGCAUCCCAGAAUGAUAUUUAUAUGUGUAAUUUGUAGGUGAAUGACCUGAAGCAUCUUCAGGCAUAAUCUUUUUGCAAUAAAUAUUAAAUUAACUUUGAAUUAAGUUGUUAUGGUUUGGAUCUGGAAUGUCCCUAAAAGGCUCAAAACCUGGUUCCCAGUACAGCAAUUUUCAGAAGUGGGGAUGUUAGUAAGUGACUGGGUAAUAAAAUCCCUGAUCUCAUUGGUGUAUUAAUCUAUUUGGGGUGGGGAUGGUUGGAGAUGUAGAUCACUGGGGCAUGGCCUGAAAAUGUAUUUCAUGUCCCUGGUCCCUUCUUCCAUACCUCCUCUUUCUCCCUGCUUUCUGGCUGCCAUGAGCUGAGUAGCUUUCUUUUGCCACAUCCUUCUGCCAUUAUGUUUCUGCCUUAGAGCCAGCUGACUAUGAACUGAAACCUCAGAAACUGUGAGCUAAAAUAAGGUUUUUCACAUCUAAGUUAUUUUUCUUAGGUAUUUGUCACAGUGAUGAAAAGUUAACCCAGAAAAUUUGCAUCAGGAGUUGGGUUGUUACUGUGACUAUAACUAACCUUAUGGUUCAGAAGACUUUGGAACUGGCUUUCAGAAGGAGUUUGGAAAAGUUAGAAGCUGCAGGCUAGAAAAGCCUUAGAAUGUUAUAAGCAGAGCUUAAUGGAUGAGUUUCAUGUGAUCAUGGAAGACUAGAAUGCCAAUAAGAAUGUGGACAGUAAAGAUUGUACACAUGAAGAUUUGUGCACAUGAGGACUUUAUGGGGAAUUAGACUAGAGCCCAUGAAUGCCACAUUCUGGAACUUAUCUACAUUUUUAUCCUGAAACUUUUUGUGAGGCUGAAUUUAAAGAUAAUAGAUCAAUUAAUUUGAUGGACUUUCAAGACAGAGCAGGAUUCAGGCAAUGGCAUGGGUAUUGCUGGCAGAUUUUAGUCAGGUUUAUAAUGAGAAUUGGGAGCAAAAAGAAUGAUGGAAAGAAUUGAAAAACUGGCUUUUUGUCCAGAAAAGUUCAGGUAAAAUUGGGGCCAAAGUAAUUGUGAUUGCUGAAGAGAUUAGUACCACUAAAGAGAAGCUAAGAACUUUGCACGCAGACAAUAGGAUAGAUACUUUGAGGGCAUCUUUAUAAUUGGCAAGACCCCACCCAUCUCAUUUUUAAAGUUGUAAGAGUGUAAACUCAUUUGAAGGACUUUACUUUGAGAAGAGAUUGCUGGGACACCCUGCUUACGCAGGGUCACCUAGGAAGUUAUUACCCCAGAAUUCAUUUCAUUUCAUUUCAGCAUGCUUAGUCAUCCAGGCACUCAGAGGCCACUCCAACCGUGGUCUAGGCAGGCCCAGAUUUGUUGGCAGCAUACCUUGGCAUCACUCAUGUGGUGGUGGUUUGGCAGGCAUAAAAAAAAUGUAAGUUAUGGCAUCAUGAAGGCUUCCACUGAGAUUUCAAAGGAAGGCCUCCAAAGCCAGUCAAUAUGAUCAGGAUCAAAAUCUCUGCAGGAAUCCUCUGAGAGAGCAAUACAUGAAGCUGUGAGAAUGAAACCUAAAUUGAGAACUCAAGAAGUUAAAGAUGCCAGGAACAUAAAACAUCUGCUAAGGAAAGCUUCAGGCAGCAAGCAGAGCCAGCCUAAGAGAGAGAACACAUGGGCUGUAACCAGCAAGGCCAUAGGGGCAUGGCUGGCUGCCCAAGCUUUCUGGAAGCCAUAUUCUGCCACCAUAUGCCACUGAUACUGGAGCUAUAAGAAUUGUUUGACUAGCUGGGUUUCCAUCUUGCUUUGGUCCCAUUCAUUAUUUCUAUGCCCCUAUUUCUCUUUUGAAAUGUAAAUAUUUGCCCUGUGAAAUUAUGUUGAAAAUAUUUAACUUGUUUUUGAUUUUUAUAGGAAAUCAUAGCUAAAAGUUUGCUUUGAGUGUUAGAGAAGAGUUUGCAUUUGGAUUUGGGGCAAUGCUGAACUGUUAAGACCAUAGGACUCUGAAUGUAUUUUAGGACUGAAUGUAUUUUACAAUGUGAAAUGAGCAAGAUCAUUUGGAUACCAGAGGUCAAAUGUUUUUGUUUCUAUCUGGCAUAUUUUCAAAGGUUAUUGCAUGGAAAGCAUAUUCCCCAAUACAGAGAUGGAGACUUUGGUAGUUCAGAGGUAUGACAUUGGGAAGUGAUUGGAUUUGGGGGACUCUGAUCUCAUCAGUGUGUUAAUCCAUCAAUAACUGAAUGGACUACUGGGAAGUGGUGGAAACUAGGUGGUGGGGCACGGUUCAAGGAAUUAGAUCUCUGGAGGCGUGCCCUAGAAAGUUAUUUCUUCUCCCUGUCCCAUUUUCUUCCUCUCUCUCUCUCUCUCUCUCUCUCUCUCCUUUCUGGUUGCAUAAGCCACGUAGCUUUCCUCUGCCACAUCCUUCCACUAUGAUGUUUCAUCCUUGGAGACAGUUGGCCAAGCUCUGAAACCAUAAGCCAAAAUAAAUCUUUUAUCCUCUAAGUUGUUUUUCUCAGGUAAUAGUCACAAUGAUGCAAAGCUAACACAUAGGUGUUGAUGAUUCUUCAGAUUUUUGUCUUCUUGUUUCUUGUGGUCACUGAUAUCAUUAUAGAUUCAUGGUCAGAUGAUAAACAUCAAUAUCCUAUAAGAGUUAUACUUUGAUUUACAAAUAUUUUUAGACAGGUAAAUUUAAUACUUAAUUUUUCAUUAAAUAUUCAUCAUUUAUGAAUAGAUUUGAAAUAGAUUGAAAAUCAACCUUUCUGGAGCCCAUUUCAGUUCUGAAGGUACCACUCACAGUCUUUAUUUUAAGUCAUGUAAUUUCACACAGACCAGGCACUCCUGAACACCAGACAGCCUUUUGCUUUAGAGUCAGAGUAAGAAAACUCACAGCUGGGCCAGCAGCUGUGGCCUCAGCUCUGCCCUCACACUGUUCCCACUCCCUGGAACACAAGAUUGUCUCUGAAGUGAGGAACUUCUAAAGCACAUAACAUUAGAGCAUGAGUUUUGUAAGUUCUGCACCUAGGUGGGCACUCCUUUCUCUAUCCCAAGGUGAUUCCCUUGCUCACCUUCUAAUUUUUUUUAAACCUGCCUUUUCCUCUCUCCACAUCACAUUAUUUUCCCUUUGCUUACUUUUUUAGACCUUUAUUUUAUCUAUUUAUUUAGUUUUAUGUGGUGCUGAGGGUUCCAGUGCCUCCUUGUGCUAGGUGAGUGCUCUACCAUUGAACCACAACCCCAGCCCCAUACUUACUCUUAAAAUGAGAAUCCUUAAGCUCAGAAAGUUUAAUAAAGUGUCCUUAUAGGGGAGAAAUGACGAGUACUUUACUGUAGGUUCAGGAUCAUCUGAGGAAGUAAUAAAAAAUGGUAUUUUUGAUCCCCAUUAAAGAAUUUUAAAAAAUGAAAAACAGGUUCAGAAAGGCUGUGUGGCUUGCCGCAAGGUCACCUAGAUAGUACAGGGCAGAGCCUGGCCUCACUCAUCACCUUACUGUCUUAACAUUCUUCCCGCUGCCCCCUGUGAGUUCCAUAAGGUAAAACAGGGGUACAGCCAAGAGAGAGUGCCCACACACCACCUAUUAUACACAGGCAUUCAGAAUCCCAAAGUAAAUCAGAAAGUAAAGAGAGAAAAAGGCAAGUUAAGUCCAGGAACAAUGGGCAGCAUUUGGGCCCAGUUAAUUACCAGCGCUAUGUUCAGGGAGCCAUGAAUACUCCUCAAAGCCCUUAAGAUACAUGGAUGUGUGUUGGCCCUUCUUCAUCUGAGUUUAGAGUCUGUGUCAGUCAGUUGUGUGUCACUGACCAAAAUACCCAACAAGAAAAAUUUAGAGGAGGAAACAUUUAUUUGGGAUCAUGGGUUCAGAGGUUUCAGCUCAUGGUUGGUCAACUCCAUUUCUCUGAGCCCGAGGUGAGGCAGAACAUCAUGGUAGAAGGGCAUGGUGAAGGGAAGCAGUUCCCAUCAUGACAGCCAGGAAGCAGAGAGAAAUAAGAGGAGGAGCCAAGGGGACAGGAUAUAAUCCCUUAGAGCACACCUCCAUAUACACCUCUCCAGCAGUGCGCCACCUGCCUACAGUUACCAUGCAAUACAGUAUUCCUUUCAAGUCAUUAAUCCAUCAAAUAGAUUAAUCCUUGUAAUAGGUACAGUUCUCAUGAUUUAAUAAUUUCACUGCUGGUAUUAAUGCAGGAACUUUGGGGGAAUUUCAUAUCAAAACCAAAAGAGGUUCCAUAUAUUUCCUUCACACUUCAAAGAUGUAGAACUUUUAUUUAAAAAAAGAAAGAAAGAAAAGAAAAAGAAAAAAAAUACACAAAGCUCUAUUUUUAAUUUAGAACAUGGAUGGGAUGGGGCAAGAAAUAUAAAAGUUCUAGUGAGAAUAUUUUGGAACAAAUGAAAUAAAUUUCUCUACUUUUUUUGUUCACUUCAAAAGUUAUACAAGACCCAGCUUAAUGCUUAGAUUACAGUCUACUUGGUUUCAGAAAUUUCAGGAAAGCAAUUUCGUAUAGUAAAAGGAACAUGGGCUCUCUGGCCUGCUACUAGUUUCAAAGCCUUGGAUCCCUUUAUGCUGCUUAGAAACUAGGAAUAUUUUAUCUUUUGAAGAGUUAAUACAUAGAAGGUGUCACAAAGUUAAAACCCAUACAGGUCAUAUUUGUUCCACAGAAGUAGUUUUCUUUGCUCAAAAAAUUGAGAAGAGUAUUUUAAAAAUUCCUUUGCAGGAGAACUGCCUUCUCAAGCACUCUUCACUCCUCUCUCUGGUCUUGAACUCACCUGUAUCAGGAGAUUUUUUUUCCUUGUUCUGGCCCCUGCAUAUUUGAGUUCAAUCUCUUUUUCAGGAAAAUUCCAGGAUGUGGAAGUGACUAGUAGAAAGCAUGCGCUCGGUGAAUAUUCUGGUUCUCUGAGGCGUGAGCACUCUGAAAUUUGAUAUAUAAUAUUCUGCAAUUUGAAUUUCAACUUCCCUUCUCCAUUUGUUGGUUCCUCAUCUUCUUUCCUCUCCCCAUGAUGGAAUGUCUUAGGUAUUUUUCUUCCCUGAUUAUACCCUCUCCCUUUGGUGGUUCCAUGUUAUCUCAUGGCCUUUAAUAUGAUCUAACCAGUGAUGAUUCUAAAUGUGUGCAUUUGGAACAGGGGAAUGUCUGGAAGACCUCUGUUUCAUACCUGAUUAUCUAAUAGUGAGGCAAAUACAUCCGAGUUUGUCCAAAUCCUUCCCAAUUUGCAAAGGAAAGUCCUCAAUUGUGCCUUAUUUGAUAUAUUAUUUGUUUUGGAUUUUUCAUUUUUUAAUGAAGUAUAAUCAUUAUCAUCUUAAUUUCAAAAGUCAAAAUGUGUUUGUGAGAUCUUCACUUUGUACUUCUGUCUCCCAUCUUGGUCUUGUAUAGUAAUGUGUAAGAUGUAUGGACAAUAUAUAGAAUUUACUUUUUAACAUGUACUUAUAAUCAAAAUAACCCAUGUCUCUUUUCUCAACCCUUUUUUCUGAUGAAAUACAACCAAUGACUUUCUCUCAAAAAAAACAUGUAGAAUAUUUGCUGAUUUAAAAACAAUGUACUGGAUACAAAAGAUGGCUAACUACUUCUGUAGACAGAUAAUGAUAGGGAACUAUUGAAAGCCACUGCUGUAGUCAGCCACUUGGUGGACCCCAAUUUUGCCACGGAUACCACUAUGGCUUGCAAAAUACACAAAGAUAGUUAAUGAGGUCCUUAGGAAACACAGAAAGUUGCAGAUUAAGUAUACAUGAAAAUAAGUAGGAAAUAAAAACUAGGAAAUCAGAUUAUGAGUAGAUUAGUCUAAAUGUUCUUGUUACAGAAGUCUUGUCACUUUCUGUCUGGUAUAAAUCUAUAGAUACUUAUUUAUUGCUUGACAACAAUUUAAUACAGUAAAGAGACCAAAGGAAGGUCUCAUUCAUUCAAGGAGAUUGUAGGAGAUUGAUGGGACUUCCUAAACUGUGUCCUAACUGAAGCUAUUAUGGUUGAGUGUAACCGAUCCAACUUAUUUCUAAAUUCUACUGUAUUUUAUAUUAUAUAGAAACUUCUGCAAAACAAGUUUCCAAAGUCAUUCUUUAUAACAAAAUUAGAUAUUUUAUUAGCCCAGAGGGGAAAAUAUUGAUCUACAAAAUUCUCCAGUGGGUUUUGUUCUGAGUUCUGAGUCACUAACUGCCAUAGAAAGGGUCUAUAUGGCUAGAAAUUUUAGUCCUGUUAACAGCACCUGAAGUGUUCUUGGUUCUCUCUGUGUUAUAGUUGGCAAUACCAGUACUGAGAGAUUGGUAAGCAAAUCAAUCAAGAGAAUUUCUGAGGCUGAGGUUGUGGCUCAGUGCUAGAACACUUGCCUAGUACGUGCAAGGUACUAGGUUUGAUCCUCACCACCACAUAAAAUAUAUUGUUUGGCUUCAAUUUUAGUUCCCCUUGUGUGUGUGAGUGUGUGUUUGUGUGUGUGUGUGUAUAUAUAUAUAUAUAUAUAUAUAUAUAUAUAUAUAUAUAUAUUCACAGGAUCUAAUAACCUUCAUUGAUAAUUUCCAGUGUAUUAUAAUACGAGUGUCCAAUUCCCAGGAAGAAUCAUAAUGACACUUUUAAAGAGAAUACCUUGAAAAAUGUUAUAAAAGAAAACAUUUUCAUUAAUUCUGUGAAUGAAGGAAGGAAAUGGACCUGUGGAGGGAGCAGUGGCCUUGGAGCAGGAAGAUGGUUCAAAUUCUGACCCAUGUUCACCAAGUUGUAGGCUUUUUCUCACCCUGAAGUUCCUUAGAAUAAGGAUCUAGAAGAAGAAAGAUAGCUCUGACAUUUGAAUCUUUGGUUCUUUCUCAUAACCAGAGAGAAAAAUGCUAAUUCUUCAGGAAUUGGCCAUCCUUUCUGCAGAAUUUUAGAGCUGACAGAAGCCUUUUGGAUUAGGGAUGCAUGUUUUAUUUUUUCUAGAUCCAGUUUAUUGAUUCUUGUAUCCUGGUAUUCCUUCUAUUCCAUUGAGUUUUUUUCAUUAUUUUACAAUUAUUGAGCACCUACCAUGUGUGAGACCCCUUGCUUAGGCACUGGGAAUAUCAGAUGGCAAAAAUCCAGUCUUGUUCUCAAGUAGCUCAUAGUGUAAUUGGAGUGGAAAGAUACCUGCAUUGGAGUCUGGACAAAUACCAGCACAAGCAGCUUCUCCAGCACUUGAGAUACCUUCCCUCCUGGUUGGAUACUGUGUUCUGCCGGCUUUCUUCCACAUCUCUGGCAGCCUUCCUGGAAUUACUGAAAGCCAUAUUUAAAUUUAAAACAUUAUUUUUAGAAAAAAAAAUAGUUCAUAUUGCUCCUUCGUACCUCCUGCUCUUUAGGUGUGAAUUCCACUUGUCAGAGACUGAUGUCUAUAGACAGAUCUUCCUUGGUAAGGCAAAGUGACAAGCUCUAUUAUUUCUUUUCCUAUCUGCAAAGUUUUAUCAAGGAUGGGUUCUUAAAAUGAAGUUACACUAAACUUCUGGAUCCACAUGAUAAAGUAAAAUUUAAUCCCGGGUUUGGGCACUAAUGGCGCAUACCUGUAAUCCCAGCAAUUCGAGGGGCUGAGGCAGGAGGAUCUAGAGUUCAAAGUCAGCCUCAGCAAAAGUGAGAUGCUAAGCACUUCAGUGAGACUCUGUCUCUAAAUAAAAUACAAAAUAGGGCUGGGGAUGUGGCUCAGUGGUUGAGUGCCCCUGAGUUCAAUCCUUGGUACCCACCCUCCCAUUAAAAAAAAAAAAAAUUAACCCAAUCUUUCUCCUAACUUGCUAUGGGAAAGUGAUUUCACCCCUCAGUGCCUUGGUUUUCUAGUUGCAAAAUGGAGACAUGAUUUGCUAAUGUAUUCUUUUCCCUUGUUAGAAAUCAUGAAGUUUUAGAAUUAUUAUACAACCCUGUCAUCCUAGGCAAUUACUUCUAUUACUUUGGUGUCCAUCCCUAUUCACAUACCAACAAGUCCACAAUCCACCUGAUAUCCCAUCCAGAAAACGGGAAGCUAAUAUGGCCACAUUUCUGUCUCCAACUGAAGAGCCAAUCAGUCAUCAUGUCCCACCACCUAAAUUUCUUUCAAUGUAUUUUCCCAAGUUAAGCCUCCAUGUUCUCUUCCACGAGCUCUCUCCUAACUGGCCUGCUAUAUAUACAUCCUUUGCUUUCUUUCAAUUCCUCCUCCCAAGGGCUGGGUGAGGAGAAAGUAAUCUUUUGAUGGUCUAAGUUCUAUAUACUGGUACUAUAUACUUGUUUUUGUAGUUGCUGUUGAGUUUAAUAAUUAAUAUAGAAGAUUCGCAGUUGCUUGUUUUUAAUAUUUAUCCUUUAGCAUAUACUAUGUUCUACAUGGAAGUGAGCUCAGAGCUUCCAGUCAGAUGGUAGUGUACUUACCUAUAACACAUUCAUAUGGGGAGCUUAGUCUAUGAGUAUUUCAGGAUUAGGGGAGUUCACUAUAGUUACAGUUUAUUUCUCCAAUUCUGCUGGAACUACAUAUCCAAGCAUUUAAACAGUGACUUACAGUGAUUAUAAAGAUAAAGAAACAGAACUUGAGUUUCUUUAUUUUAUUGUUCUAUGUGACUACAUGGAAACUUUACAUUUUUAAAAUUUAUUGCAGAAAACUUUAAGCUAUAAUCUCUUUGGGCAUGUGCACCUUUUAGUUCAUACAAAAAUUAAAAUAAUGUCUUUAAUGUUGAAAGUAUUAUAGGUAUUGUAUCAAAACUAAGCAAUUCAAGAACAUAAUGAUUACUGAAAAUAAUUUACCCUGUUGGCAUAACUACAUAUUUGGUCUUUGUUCCUUGUUUUGGACACAGAGUUCUUAAACCCUUGGUAUUUCCUGAGUGAUGAGAGACUUUUAUUCUAAUAAGAUCACUCUUAGUGGGCUCCUAGAUAGCUCUGGGGUGGGAGUUGCUUGUCAAGAAGUUCAAACCUUGACUAAAGGUCUGGAACUUGGAGUUCUACUCCACAAUCUCCAGGGAGGGGAGAGGGACUAGAGAUUGAUUUAAUAAUUGUUCUUGCUUACAUUUAAUUGUUCAAUUUUGCCUUAUGAAAAGUAUGAUUAUGCUUCCUUCUUCACCUUGGCUGCUAGGAAACCCAUAUAGAAUUUGUGAAAUUAAUCAUCUUAUAGGACAGAGGAUAUUGUGACAUAUUUUACAAACUAACUUUGGUCUGUUGAAACCCUUACACAUUGAGAUUCACGGAGUUUCUGGAUUAUUAUGAAGGCACCCAGAGAGGGUAUAGAUUGGCUAUGGCUCUUCUCAUACCUUGCCAUAGGCAUCUUUAACAUCUGGCCAUUCCUGAGUUUUACCGUUUAUAAUAACCCAAUAGUAGUAAGUAAUGUCCUAAGUUCUAUGAAUUUUUUAGUAAAUUAUAAAUCUUAGAAGAAGGGUUAGUGAGUACCCCAAAUUUGUAUCCAAGUCAGACAGAAGUAUGGGUAACCUGAUAAUGCUGUAUUUACAAUUGGUGUCUGAAGUGAGAUAGUCUUGGGAAAUCAGCCUUUAAACAUAUAGAGUCUAAUAGUGGCUUUGGGUAGUUAGUAUCAAAAUUGAACUGGAUUGUGGGACACUUAGCUGGUAUCAGAGAACUGGAGAACUGGUUGUUGGUGUGGAAAACCUCCAUGCAUUUGAUAUUAGCAAUGUUACAGGUGAAAAAAAAAAAAAAAACAGUUCAUUGUCCAGUAGAGGGUGUUAAAAAAAUGAUCUUCUCUCGUUAGCUGUCAAGUAACUGACACACUGUCCAGUACCAUGGAGCUGUUACCAGCUCUGACACUUUAGGUACUCAUCUCGCAGGUUCCCUUCUUCCCUUUGCCAUGGGCAUGCCCAUCUUCCUUAACAGCUCAGUAUUUCUUUUCCUGGGGUACUCCUUCCACAGACAGACUCUGAGUUGCCUGAGGGCAGCUGCCUUAUUUCUACAGCUCAGUAACUUCUGUGGCCUAGGAGAGUUCACCCUGGGAAUAGGCACUUCCCCCAAAGUAUGUCAAUAUAAACUCUAUAAAGGCUUUGUUGUUUUUUCUCUUUGUUUUUUUCUGUCUCUAGGGAAACAUCCAGAUAACUGAGUGCCACUUCCUGGAGAAUGACUGGCUGACUGCUCUGGCCUGCCAUCAGCCCUGCUCUUGUACAUGACACCACUGCUGUGAUGCUGUUAGGGCUGUGACGGGACAUGGGCCGAAGAUACUUUUCCUGAAACAUAGGGUUGUUCGUCAGGUACUCAGCUCAUGUCCCAUAAGAUGCUUCUACCUCCACCCUGGGAAUUGUAUGGCUUUCUCUCUAUAUCUUCCCUCAUUCCCCAAAAGACAAUAUAUCAUUUGCAUGGCACUGCAUAAAAAUGAAAUAUAUUGAAUGGGCCCUACACUCACCAGAUUUUAAAAAUUACGUUAAAGAAAGAUACCUGUUGAUAAGUAUCACUAUAACACAUGUUGUAUCUGUUUCCAAGCACUAUUGCAACAAAGAACCACAAACUGGGUGCCUUAAAUAUCAGAAAUACAUUUUCUCACAGAUCUGGGACCAGAACCUGAGAUCAAGGUUUUGGCAGGACUGGCCUUUUGGGGGGGCUGUCUGAGUCUCUUCUGUGUCUCCCUCCUAGAUUUUGAUGGUUUGCUGGCCAACUUUGAUAUUCUUUGGCUUAUAAAGAAUUAUCCAGGUCUCUGCCUUCAUCCUCACAUGAUGUUUUCCCUGUGUGUGUAUAUCUGUAUCCAAAUAUUCUCUUUAUAUAAAGACACUGGUCCUAUUGGAUUAGGGGUCCACCCUGCUCUCACAUGACCUCAUCUUAUCUAAUACUAAUGCCUGCAGUGACCCCAUUUCCAAAUAAAGGUCAGGCACUGGGGGUUGGGUUAUGGAAAUAUGAAUUUUGGGUGGUCACUAUACAACCCAUAAUCAUAUCCCACAUAAUUAUUUAAUGUCUGUACAUUCAAGUAGGUGUAAAAAAAUCUUUAUAAUUAUCUGAGCAAAGAAUUUAAUACUAUUUUACGAAUACACUUUUGCAGAAUUUAAUGUGCUUUUAUCUUAGAAAUGCAACUGCCAAAUUUAUUGAAUAAAGACUGUAGAUUUUUGUUUUUCUUUUUCUUUGGAAACUUAUCAAGAUUGGCUCAUGUUUUUAGCAAACCAUGUCAUUAACACUGUGCAUAGUAUCUAGGUAACCAAGAUAACUUACUUAAGACAACUUCAUUUCUAGAAAAAUAUCAGACUCCUACUGUUACAGAGCUGAGACCAACUAAGAAACUGAGACAGCAUGAAGACCACCUUCAAACAUUGAUUCUUGCCAUCAAGUCAGUAAGAUUUCAGACAUGUUGCUCAGAGUAAUAGUAAUGAGUUUAUUGAAGGGAUAGGAAAAGGGUAACGGGACACUCUUAAGGGAGAGAGUGAGUUGUCUCAGAAGGACAGGUAUAGUGUGCCUUUCCUGCACUCCGGUUUUAUUGGGGAUCCCAGAGAAGUUUCCAGAGAGUCCCGCCUAGGUCCACCUCUUGACUUUUGACUUACAACAAGAUGACAGACUUUCAAGUCCCCACUGUUAUGGCAACUUUAGGUCAUCUUGGCCCAUGCUGAAUGGUUUCAAUUAGAUUCAUAACCAUAUAUUCCUACAGAUUUUAUGGUUAGGAGGAACUAACCUUAUCUCUCAGAAUUUCAGGAUCUGAUCACAAAAGUUUCCUCCUUCAGGUUAACUUGGGUUCCUCUUGUCAACAUUAUCUUGGGCCUGCAUUUUUCCUGCAAAUAGGUAGUCUGCUGGGGAAUGCCACAUAUCACUUAGGCCAGGCAGGGCUUUAGGUAAAUUGCUCCUUGGAAAAGAAAGCAUGUGAGGGUCAAUACAGUGGACCCAGUUUAAUAGAAUUAUAUUCUUAACUUCAUGUUCCCACCAUCCUCAUCUAUCUGUCCCCUAACACUACUAAUGUAAAAAUUAUCUGAAAAAUGAUUUUUAUGUUUUUACAUAAUUGUUCUUUCUGAGGUUGAAAGAAUGGAUGACAAAGUGUUCUCAGCCAGGUUUAUAGACAUUUUCUUCUGCAAAUAUAGAAUAUACAUGUGAUAUGUGUAUAUGCAAUAUAUACAUACAGUGUACGUAUAAAGUCAUGUGUUUGUGGCAUCUGAGAGUUACAGAGCAUAAUCAUAGUGUGAAAUGCUUUCAAGAUUCUACUAUUAUCUUUUAAAAUUCCUAUGAAAAUUGAUAAUAUUUUGUGAGCCUCACUCUGUCAUUCUUAUUCAGUUACUAAGGGUUCUGUUGGCUCUGCCUAAUUUUGUUCCCAGGGUUUCAGAAGCCCAGCAUUUUAAUCAAGUCUUCAGUUAAGUGUUUUUAAUGUGGGAAAUGUUCCUCGGAGUUUAAAUACAAUCACAGUUUAAAAGAGUAAGGUUUAAAUUCCUUUUAUUUAACAUAUGUACCCAUAUGCACGUCAAUUUGAAAAUUUCUGAUAGUAGCUGUCAGAAAGAGUUUUGAAUAUUUAAUGAAGGGUUCUAAAUUUCAUCUGAGUCCACAGAUGAACAAUUUAGGAGGACAGAGGCUGUCUGUUCUUUGUUGACUUUCAUGGAUCAAUUGGUGUGCAAAUAUUGAAUUCUUUCCUGCUAUAAUAACAGGCAAAUAGCAGCAAACCUACUUUCCAGAAUAGCAAAAUUAUGAAAUACUCAAAGGAUUGUGUGCAUAUGUGUAGAAAUCUUUUUUUUCCAAUUCAGAGAAAUACAGGACAAGCAGGAGCUCAGUAAAGAUUGAAUCAAGAAUCUAAAUUUUUCAGAGCUAGAAGGAUCCUUAGUGAUUAUCUAGCCUAUUCCACCUGCUUCUCAUCUACCUCUUUUUCAAAUAAUGAUACUUUGGCCUCCAGAGAUAAACUGAAAUGCUGGUCAUUAUACAUAUUCUUGGUUUAUUUUGAGGGAUCCCCCCCCCAAAAAAACAGUGUUCUUGCUGACAUGGUGGCACACACCUGUAAUCUCAACAACUCUGGAAGCUGAGGCAGGAGGAUCACAAGUUUGAGGCUAGUCUGGAUAAUUUAAUGAGACCCUCAGCAACUUAGCAAGAUCUUGACUCAAAAACAAACAAACAAACAAACAAACAAACAAAAAAAACUAGGGAUGUAGCACUGUAGUAAAAGCACCCCUGGGUUUAAUCACCUACCAUAAAACAAAAACAAAACAGUGUUCUUACAUUUUCAUUCAGAUUUUUUAUUAAGAUAUCUUUGAGGACUUUAUCUGGGAACAACCAGAUGGCUGCCAGGAAAGUGUCACUUUCAAGAACUCUUUACCUCCCCACCCCCAGCAGAACUUCAUGUAUUUGUUUCAAAUGUCAUAGUUUAUUAAAUAGCACUAGUUCAUUCCUAGUAAUUGCAUUGUAAAUUAUCCUCUUAGGAGGACCCAUGAGCUAAAAUUCUCAAAAAAUUCAGAUCUAGGAUAUUUGUGAUUUUUUCAGAGUUAAUUGUUUAAUUUUGCCUUAUGAAAAAUAUGAUUAUGCUUCCUUCUUUACUUUGGCUGCUAGGAAACCCAGAUCGAAUUUGUGAAAUUAAUCAUCUUAAUAGGACAGAGGAUAUUGUGACAUAUUUUACAAACUAACUUUGGUCUUAUUUUAUUUUUCCAAUCUUUUUUCCUUUCUUUAAAAUCUCUAUUUCUGCCUUUCCUUGUUUUUAAUCUUAUUAAACUGUAGGUUUUCCUUUUUAAAUUUACAUAAAAUGUUUUUCCUUGGAUUUUCUAUUCAUAGAACACCAAAGUCUGCUAGGAACUGAACAGACCAACCUUAGAAAUUGUGGUGAGACAUGAUGGAAAGAUAAAGGAUCCAAUUAAAUGUUUUUAUUUUAGAAUUAAAACAAAUUUAGAGGCCCUACUAUGUAGAAAGGAUAUGAAAAGAAUGCAGUAUUUACGUGAGUUCUAAAGUUCCUCAAAUGAGAAAAUAUAAUGCUUAAUGUGUAUUAAAAAUAUAGUAUACCUUAAAAUAAAAUAUUAAGAGUGAAAUUAAUCUAAAAGCUUGUGUAGUAAUAUAAUAACCCUGGAUGGGGAUUAUAGGCUCAGAUAGGAGUUGAACAUUAAGGUCAUGGUAUGACUCAGACCCAGAGAUAUCUAAUAUUUGGUUACUUCCUCCUGUGAGUUUUAUAGUCCUUAUUAAAAAAUAUAACAUUCCAUCUGUAUUUUGAACAAGAAUUCAGUCUGAGUUAUAGCCAAUCAUUCUGGUUGUUAAGGAUAAUUUUUAGAAAACUGAGGAGGACCCCCCAAAAUUUAUUUGGAAAGGUAGCUUCAAAAUUGUUUGGGAUGAUUCAGUUUUUUUUAAUGAGUUAAUAAACUUUAAUCAGAAUUAAGUUUACAAAUGUUUAUGAGAAUCAAAUCCAUGAUAUUUAUAGUUUGUGUAAAAAGUGGCACAUAUUUGUGUUUUGGGUGUAUAUAAUAUUUAAGAGGAUUUGGCAUAUUAAAAUAUUAUCCUUGUGAUCCUAAUGUAAAAGGUAUAAUUAAAUGAAUGGUUUUUACUUGUAAGCCAAGGUUUGAGCCAUUUGGAGCCCUGGCUUAUCUCCUCCUUAAUGCCAGAUACUACAAACAAGUGACUGAUUAGUGCAGCUCAAUUACUUGCAAGUAAGCAGGUAAAUGCUUCAUUUCUGGGUGCUCUUUCCUUCUGGGCACCAGCUAUUUCAUUGCCCUAUGUCCUUCUACAGCUAUGUGAGUCUCUUCAGUUCCAGAUGCCCAUGGCCAGUCCUCUCUCCUUUUUAAAACCAUGCUUUAAGGGCAACAUCACCUUGGGGGACAUCCCUCUCCUCCUCCACAGACAAGAUGUUCUCCCAGCUUUGCACUCUCUCCCCUGAAAUGUGUAUGCCUGACCAUCACUGGUGGGUUUACACAUCCAUAAAGGCAUAGACUGUCACUUAGGCCCAGCUAUGCCUAACAGUUGCUUAAUACUUGUUAAAUUGAGCUAACCUAAUGAGUUCAGUUGACAUAAAUUAAAUGUACCAACAAGCCAGAUAAUAGGCUAUUCAUGACUUCACUAACUCUCAUUUGGAGUCUCAUAAAAAUCAUAACAAAUCCUGAGGGAUUUAAAAUAUAAUCUAGUUUUGUUUCUUUCAUUAUUUUUGUGUUCUAUGAAGAAUGCAAAUUUGAAGAAAGUCUUCUAUAGCCUAAAUAGCACACAAAAGCCACUAACUGAUUCUUGGGAAAACCCUUUCUUUUCAGUUGAAUAAACUGAAGAUUUUUUAAUUAUAAAAAUAUGUGUUUGAUUUCUCUUGAAAAAGCAAGAUCAGCCACAAAGGUUUCCAUUCUUUAAAAAAUGCCAAUUUUCUGGGGACCCUCUCCAAUUUAUCACAAUCCUUGCCACCCCUUACAGUUUCUUUGAUUCAGAAAGUAAGUAUCAAGAUGGCAUUGAAAUCCAGAAAUUAUGGCUCUGUAGAUGGUAGCACACCUAGCCUUCUUGCUUCAUUUAUGUUAACUUGCCUAUUACUGAAAGCAAUUAAACUUGAGGACCUCACUUUUGCAAUAAAUGUAUUUUAAUGAAGUAUCAUGGGAAAAACACUGUUUACAAAUCAAACUCCAUAUGUAUAUAACUUACUGUUGAGAAUAAUCUAUUGUAAAUGUAAACUAAUUCUUUUGGGCAUCAAAUAAGCACACUUGUGCAUAUUUCUAUUGCCUUGACAAGAGCUACUUGUUAACUUGUUAUAUGAUUCUGAGAGCUCAAUUUGUUGUAUUAAAAUUCUGUAAAAAUUUAUGCUUUUUAUUAUUAUGACAUUUACUUUUACUUUUGAGCUCAGUGUGAUCAUUCUCCCUUUGCAAGUAAUGUGUUUAAGAUUAUAGCCCUUAUAAAAAUUUUAUCAUAAAAAUAAAAUCAUUGCCAAAACAAGUUUAAGACUGAGCAACAUCAAAAAUUUUGGCUAGAGACAUGGUGAGUUCAUUAGAGCUAUAGAUCCCAACAUUCUUUCUUCCUAGAGAGUUUUCCUUUUUGUUUAUUUUUAAAAGUUUUAUUGGCAUAUAAUUUUCAUAUAACUUUUACC